GAUGAACGCUGGCGGCGUGCCUAAUACAUGCAAGUCGAGCGAACGGACGAGAAGCUUGCUUCUCUGAUGUUAGCGGCGGACGGGUGAGUAACACGUGGAUAACCUACCUAUAAGACUGGGAUAACUUCGGGAAACCGGAGCUAAUACCGGAUGAUAUUUUGAACCGCAUGGUUCAAAAGUGAAAGACGGUCUUGCUGUCACUUAUAGAUGGAUCCGCGCUGCAUUAGCUAGUUGGUAAGGUAACGGCUUACCAAGGCAACGAUGCAUAGCCGACCUGAGAGGGUGAUCGGCCACACUGGAACUGAGACACGGUCCAGACUCCUACGGGAGGCAGCAGUAGGGAAUCUUCCGCAAUGGGCGAAAGCCUGACGGAGCAACGCCGCGUGAGUGAUGAAGGUCUUCGGAUCGUAAAACUCUGUUAUUAGGGAAGAACAUAUGUGUAAGUAACUGUGCACAUCUUGACGGUACCUAAUCAGAAAGCCACGGCUAACUACGUGCCAGCAGCCGCGGUAAUACGUAGGUGGCAAGCGUUAUCCGGAAUUAUUGGGCGUAAAGCGCGCGUAGGCGGUUUUUUAAGUCUGAUGUGAAAGCCCACGGCUCAACCGUGGAGGGUCAUUGGAAGCUGGAAAACUUGAGUGCAGAAGAGGAAAGUGGAAUUCCAUGUGUAGCGGUGAAAUGCGCAGAGAUAUGGAGGAACACCAGUGGCGAAGGCGACUUUCUGGUCUGUAACUGACGCUGAUGUGCGAAAGCGUGGGGAUCAAACAGGAUUAGAUACCCUGGUAGUCCACGCCGUAAACGAUGAGUGCUAAGUGUUAGGGGGUUUCCGCCCCUUAGUGCUGCAGCUAACGCAUUAAGCACUCCGCCUGGGGAGUACGACCGCAAGGUUGAAACUCAAAGGAAUUGACGGGGACCCGCACAAGCGGUGGAGCAUGUGGUUUAAUUCGAAGCAACGCGAAGAACCUUACCAAAUCUUGACAUCCUUUGACAACUCUAGAGAUAGAGCCUUCCCCUUCGGGGGACAAAGUGACAGGUGGUGCAUGGUUGUCGUCAGCUCGUGUCGUGAGAUGUUGGGUUAAGUCCCGCAACGAGCGCAACCCUUAAGCUUAGUUGCCAUCAUUAAGUUGGGCACUCUAAGUUGACUGCCGGUGACAAACCGGAGGAAGGUGGGGAUGACGUCAAAUCAUCAUGCCCCUUAUGAUUUGGGCUACACACGUGCUACAAUGGACAAUACAAAGGGCAGCGAAACCGCGAGGUCAAGCAAAUCCCAUAAAGUUGUUCUCAGUUCGGAUUGUAGUCUGCAACUCGACUACAUGAAGCUGGAAUCGCUAGUAAUCGUAGAUCAGCAUGCUACGGUGAAUACGUUCCCGGGUCU
Molecule: ribosomal RNA, 1372 nt
Filed under: uncultured bacterium
Lineage: Bacteria
Description: bacterial SSU rRNA
Rfam family: Bacterial small subunit ribosomal RNA
Source: RNAcentral